This 465-nucleotide ribosomal RNA is filed under the name uncultured bacterium. RNAcentral describes it as "partial 16S ribosomal RNA". It matches the Rfam family "Bacterial small subunit ribosomal RNA", at positions 338 to 795 of the family's 1533-position model. The record is from RNAcentral.
CCUACGGGAGGCAGCAGUGGGGAAUAUUGCGCAAUGGGCGAAAGCCUGACGCAGCGACGCCGCGUGAGGGAUGAAGGUCUUCGGAUCGUAAACCUCUGUCAGCAGGGAAGAACGGUCACUGUGCUAAUAAGCAGUGAAUUGAGGGUACCUGCAAAGGAAGCACCGGCUAACGCCGUGCCAGCAGACGCGUUAAUACGGAGGGUGCGAGCGUUAAUCGGAAUUACGGGGCGUAAAGCGCUCGUAGGCGGUAUGUCAAGUCAAGGGUGAAAUCCCCGCGCUCAACGUGGUAACUGCCUUUGAAACUGGCAAACUGGAGUGUGUGAGAGGAUAGUGGAAUUCCGGGUGUAGGAGUGAAAUCCGUAGAUAUCUGGAGGAACAUCAGUGGCGAAGGCGACUAUCUGGCACAUAACUGACGCUGAGGAGCGAAAGCGUGGGUAGCAAACAGGAUUAGAUACCCCUGUAGUC